AAUAUUAAAGUCCAACAAAUCAUUUUUAGAAGGACACGGCCCCGUUUCUCACAAAUGAUGGAUAAAAAUGUGGAAAGAAAGCCAAAGUAAACAAAAAAUAAGUUGGCAAACUUGUUCCUACAGAAAGAAAUCAAUUAAAUCUUUUCUGCAUCCCUGACACAGUAGUGUCUUCUUGCUGUUCAGUUAAAAGUACAAUAUGUUCGCAUCUAAAAAGUACAAGAAAUAGAUGAUUUUUAAAAAUACUAUGGGUGAGGCUAUCCAUGUGUUACGGACUGUAUCAACAACUUCCGUCACAUCAGCAACAUGCACCGCAUCAACUGCACCAUCAGCAACCUUCUCAAAUGAUUCCUCCACAAAAACAUUCCCAACUACCUCCACAGCAUCAGCAGAAUCCUCCAUACCACCAGGGAAUGCAUCUGCAAAACUUCAAUCUACCGACAUUUGGUAUACCGCCCCCGGGCUACGGUGGGUAUCAACCUGCAUGGGAAGAGUACAACCUCCAUGGGGAAUGCAAUGGAAAGAGAUGAAUUCCGAAAACUGAUGGAAGAUGCUCAUCUUAAUGGAAAAUCAUUAUUUAGUGAAUUAAGUCAACGUUAUGGACGCCACGAUCACAACAAAACCAUCGAAAAAGUACGUGAAUGUGAAAGUUUUUUUCAAAGAGUACAUUGUCGAUUUUCUUCUCAAAAAAGAAGAGGAUAAAAUUCAGAAAAAGAAAAAGCAGCCUCAUACUACCACCAUCUUGUUGGGAUGCGUCUGCGAUCUCUUGUGCUAAUCUAUAUGCCAUUGUUUAUUGGUGCUUUGAAUCGUCAUGAAGUCGAAAAGAAGGAUAAAUGGAUUCAAGAGUUUUUGCAAUUUGUCUACAGCAAUUGCUGUUCGGUUGAUCCAAGGCAAAGUGAAUUGAGAUCAUCGAUCUUUGCUACAUUACCCAUUGUAGCACCAGAAUAAUUUGUCGCACACACGAGAUCUAUUAGUGAAAUGUUGACUGCUGCUUUAACUGAUAACGAAACCAGUGGAAAUAUGGCUACUCAAGUGAUAUAUAAAAUUUGUAUAACUAUAACCUAUUUGGUGCCAUUCAUUUUUAUACACAAGACUGUUGAAUUGACGGACCAGAAGUCGAUUGCUAUGAUUAUUAAGUUUCUUCAAGCUUUUGUCGUCGAUAACUCUCUGAUAAGGUUAUUCAAACUUUUGGAGUAUCCCCAACUACACUCAACAAACAUUCGUUUGUUGUUGGACUUUCACUUGAAAGCUUCGAAAAACACUCAGUUGGAUAGCUCAGUGCGUGUAAACACUGGCAUCUAUUGGCUGGUUGGUGCGCUUGAAUAAGAAGGUAAUUGUCAGGCAAGAGCUCGUUGAACUCAUCAUUCAGGUUGUCUUGAAUCCAAUUGAGGCAUUACCCUCCAGUGGUGGAGAUGAAAAACAUGGCGCUGACACACCACCGUUGCUGGAAAGGAAAAUAACAUGCAUAUUUUGAUUCUUUCGUGGUUGGCUGCAGCCACUGAAGCAUGCAAUGCUGAAUUUAAAAGUCAAGAGUUUGCUUCGGCAAAAAGUGCUUCAUAUUGUUGUAAUAUACCUAGAGUGCUUAAAUGAACAUUAAAAUAAAUAUAUAUACAUAUAUA
RNA transcript from Episyrphus balteatus (marmalade hoverfly), 1616 nucleotides. RefSeq lists it as uncharacterized. The record is from RefSeq and is a predicted model, not a curated record. The transcript is spliced from 5 exons. NCBI's taxonomy places the organism in Eukaryota, Metazoa, Arthropoda, Insecta, Diptera, Syrphidae.